This 307-nucleotide long non-coding RNA is filed under the name Homo sapiens (human). RNAcentral describes it as "HSALNT0249221". Lineage: Eukaryota; Metazoa; Chordata; Mammalia; Primates; Hominidae. The record is from RNAcentral.
UCCUCUCCCCGGUCAACGUCAAUCACAUGCACCACUCCAGGUUUUAGAAUCAGGUCAUCCGUCUCUACCUGACUCCUGUUGUCCUCCACCUCCAUGUAGCUUCCUUUUGUUUGCUGGGCAGCUUUGCUGAAGGCUUCUUUAAAACGACGUUUGAAUUCAACAUCUGGACAGAAGACAUACUCAUAAAGGCCACCAGCGAGGACAGCUCCUAUGAUGGGCCCAACCCAAUAUAUCUAAGGAAAAGAUGGAAGAGGAUAGAGUGUCCAAAGGAUCGGGCGGGAUUCAUGCUGGCACCAGUAUAAUUGAU